CAACCUAGCUGAUUCCGUGUUUCUGUGAUUGAUAUAGGUGCUUCUAGAAUUUCUAAAAAAUAAAAUAUUUUUCUUACAGGAAUUAAUUCAGGAAGCUCUUUUGGCCUUUUUAUAUGGCAAGACAUACUAGAUAAAUGAAAGACUCCCUUGUGGCUUUAUAGGUAACAUCUUCUCAAGUGGUAAAAAUGCUUCAGGCAGAAAUGAGACUAGAAAAAGAGUUUCUCAGUUAUUUAACUGAGGAAAUUGAUGUACUUAUAAACUGCGGUUAGGAAUCUUCAGCAGAUCUCUGAACUAAAUGCCUACUUCCUAAUUUUAACUAAUGCCUUAACUGGAAAUUUUUUGUCCUCUUUCCAAAAUGUGUAAUAAACAAACCCAAAGGGAAAAUAAGCUAGCUAAUAUGUCUUUGCAAGUGCAAGAUGUAUAAAUUAGCUAGCAGAUUGCAGUAGACACUUAUUUUGUUUUUUAUACUUCCUGAAAUACAUUGGUUUGGACCUUCAAAAUGGAGAUGGUGUCCAGUUUGCUUAGCAGCACUGAUACUUGUCACUCAGGAACAUUAACAGGGAUCAUGGUCUUUAAAUUCAGCAGAUGAAAAUCUCUUUCCUCCAGAAAAUACACUCCGUUAUAGAUGACUGCCAAUGAAAAGUAAACAGCCAGCUCCAAUGAAGAAAUGUGCUGAAAGCGAAUACCUUUUGAACUCUGAAUCUUUAUUUCCACUCUUUAUGGAAAUAAACACAUUUAUGGUUUGUUUAUUACUUGCAGAAAGAAAGCUUGUUCGUCCUCCUCCCCUCCACCCCUUUUCAUUUGCUGGUCUAGCUACUGAGCAGACCCUAAUCACAAGAUGUCUGUGUAUAUCAAGCAGAUGUUCACUGGCAACAGAAAAUCAGUGUCUGGCAUGCAGUUAUAUUGUGUUUUUAGCCUGCAUUGAGCACAGUUGAAAGCAAUGUUUUGUGUCACUAUAUCUGUAUUUCAUAAUAAAGAACAAGUGCCCACUUCAA
Molecule: long non-coding RNA, 995 nt
Organism: Athene cunicularia (burrowing owl)
Lineage: Eukaryota; Metazoa; Chordata; Aves; Strigiformes; Strigidae
Exons: 2
Source: RefSeq, a predicted model, not a curated record